GACGAACGCUGGCGGCGUGCGUAAUACAUGCAAGUAGAACGCUGAAGAGAGGAGCUUGCUCUUCUUGGAUGAGUUGCGAACGGGUGAGUAACGCGUAGGUAACCUGCCUUGUAGCGGGGGAUAACUAUUGGAAACGAUAGCUAAUACCGCAUAACAAUGGGUGACACAUGUCAUUUAUUUGAAUGGGGCAAUUGCUCCACUACAAGAUGGACCUGCGUUGUAUUAGCUAGUAGGUGAGGUAACGGCUCACCUAGGCGACGAUACAUAGCCGACCUGAGAGGGUGAUCGGCCACACUGGGACUGAGACACGGCCCAGACUCCUACGGGAGGCAGCAGUAGGGAAUCUUCGGCAAUGGGGGCAACCCUGACCGAGCAACGCCGCGUGAGUGAAGAAGGUUUUCGGAUCGUAAAGCUCUGUUGUAAGUCAAGAACGAGUGUGAGAGUGGAAAGUUCACACUGUGACGGUAGCUUACCAGAAAGGGACGGCUAACUACGUGCCAGCAGCCGCGGUAAUACGUAGGUCCCGAGCGUUGUCCGGAUUUAUUGGGCGUAAAGCGAGCGCAGGCGGUUUGAUAAGUCUGAAGUUAAAGGCUGUGGCUCAACCAUAGUUCGCUUUGGAAACUGUCAAACUUGAGUGCAGAAGGGGAGAGUGGAAUUCCAUGUGUAGCGGUGAAAUGCGUAGAUAUAUGGAGGAACACCGGUGGCGAAAGCGGCUCUCUGGUCUGUAACUGACGCUGAGGCUCGAAAGCGUGGGGAGCGAACAGG
This 765-nucleotide ribosomal RNA is filed under the name uncultured Streptococcus sp. RNAcentral describes it as "bacterial SSU rRNA". It matches the Rfam family "Bacterial small subunit ribosomal RNA", at positions 28 to 776 of the family's 1533-position model. Lineage: Bacteria; Bacillati; Bacillota; Bacilli; Lactobacillales; Streptococcaceae. The record is from RNAcentral.